Non-coding RNA from Chroicocephalus ridibundus (black-headed gull), 1646 nucleotides. Lineage: Eukaryota; Metazoa; Chordata; Aves; Charadriiformes; Laridae. The record is from the annotation of a RefSeq genome assembly.
AUGGCUGUUUUUGCCCCAAAUAUUUGGAUGCUUUUGCCUCUCUCGGCCAUUUUUGCCCCAAAUAUUCAGAUAAUUCGUCGCUUUUUUGUCAUUUUUGCCCCAAAUAUUCAGGGGUCGGGGGGCCCCCACCCCAAAAAAACUGGCCGGGGGGAGGGGUUUUUGUACGGCGGAGGGGGGUGUCGGUGUCACCGUGGCAAUGCUGGUGGUAUCGACGCGUGGGGCAGCGGGACAGCCGUCACCGUCUCCUCCGCCCGGGUGACGUCGCCCAACGUCUUCCCCUUGGUGGCCUGCUCGGGCGGGGCCGCCCCCUCCCCCUUCCCUCCGGUGGCUUGUUUGGCCGACGGUUACUUGCCCGAACCGGUGACGGUGACCUGGGAGAACGGCGACGGCCCCGGCGUCACCUUCCCGGCCGUCCGGAAAAGCACGGGACUCUACGCCCUCAGCAGCCAGCUCCGCGUCACCCGCCCCGGCCCCGGUCCCCUGCGCUGCACCGUCCACCACCCGCCCUCCGCCUUCCGCAAGACCGUCACCAUCCGCCCGCCGGUCAAACCCAAUGUCCCCGUGGUUGACGUCCUCCACGCCUGUGACCCCAACGGCGUCCACCUCGUCUGCCUGGUCACCGCCUUCUCCCCGGCCGAGGUGACCUUGGAGUGGCUGGUGGACGGCCAACCCCUGUCCCCGCCCCCCGCCGUGGAGCCCGUGACACCCGAAGCCACCGGCGGCACCUUCCGCACCAGCUCCCACCUCAACGUCACCUUGGAGGACUGGCAGGAGAAGACCUACACCUGCAAGGUCACCCACCCCGCCUUGGACAGCCCGCGGGAGGUCACCGCUCACAAGUGCUCCAGCGCCCCCGCCGACGCCACCAACAUCCGCGUCUUCGUCCUGCCCCCUUCCCCCGCCGAGCUCUACGUCUCCCAGGACCCCGUCCUCCGCUGCCUGGCCACCAGUUUGCCCAGCGACGACUUGGUGGUCACUUGGACCCGCAAGUUGGGGGGGACCCUCCGGCCCCGCCCCCUCCAGCUCCGCGCCCAGUUCAACGGCACCUUCUCGGCCACCAGCGAGGUCCCCAUCUCCACCCGCGACUGGGAGAGCGGCGAGACCUUCACCUGCACCGUCCACCACAACGAGCUCCCCUCCCCCGUCAGCCGCAGCACCAGCAAGAGACCCGGCAAGCGCCUGACCCCCAGCGUCUACCUGAUGGGUCCCCCCGCCGAGGAGGUGAGCAGCAACCGGGACACCCUCAGCCUGACCUGCAUGGUGAGGGGCUUCUACCCCGAGGACAUCUCGGUGGAGUGGCAGAAGAACCAGGAGACCUUGGAGCCCAGCACCUACGACAUCGUCCCCCCGGUCAAGGAGAAGACGGGCGACGCCUCCUACUUCCUCUACAGCCGCUUGGCCGUCAAGAGGGAGGACUGGAACCGGGGCACCACCUACGUCUGCAUGGUGGUCCACGAAGGUCUGCCCAUGAAGUUCAUCCAACGUAGCAUCAACAAGAACCCGGGUAAAAAAUGAGGCGGAGGCGGCGGCGGCAUCAGCCCCGGCUUCGGCUCGGUCCUUCCCCACCGCCCACCCCGCCCCCGCCACCCCCACCUCACCCCCCAGCGUUGGUGGGUGGGUGGGGGCGAAUAAAGGAGAAGAAGUCA